Long non-coding RNA from Cavia porcellus (domestic guinea pig), 2020 nucleotides. RefSeq lists it as uncharacterized. Lineage: Eukaryota; Metazoa; Chordata; Mammalia; Rodentia; Caviidae. The transcript is spliced from 3 exons. The record is from RefSeq and is a predicted model, not a curated record.
GUAUUUAUUUAUUUACAAGCUGGGAAUAUUCAAAUUGGCCCAGUACAUUCUCCCGCAUUUUAAACACGUCAUGUUUCCUAAUGUGUAUGCUAAGAAAUACAUGGGCAGUGAAAAGGAAGCCAAAUCCGUCCUUAGUAGAAGAGACAGAGAUGUUGCUAACAAAGUGAAAGGGACUCUUUCUGGAGAGCCUGAGAAAAACGGGUCAAAUUAUAGAAAAAAAGCAUAAAGGUCUUGAGACAAGGUUUUGCUGUAUGGUCUAGACUGGUCUUGAACUCACUAUGCAUCCCAGGGUAGCCGUGGACUCACAGAGACCCUCCUUCCUCAGUCCCCAGGGUACUGGGAUUACAGAUAACACAUUCAUAGCAACAAUUUGCUUGGAAUAUAGUAUCACUUUCCUGCUUUCAUCUGUGCCAUAUGAUUGCACAGCUUCCAGUCGUGUAAGAUUGUGAAUAAAUAUUUAUUCUUCCUAAUGAGAAACUGGACCCCUCUGGGCAUGGUGACGCAUGCCUGUGAGCUCAGCAUUUAGGAGGCUGGGGCAGGAAGAACUCAAGCUGCGUAGUGAGAUACUCUGUCUCAACAACAAGAAAAAUUAAAAUAAAAUGGAAAAGAAGUUGGACCUACGAACUCCAUAGUUCAUCUGAGAGUCACACACAGAACUGGAGGUCUUUGUUGGCAACUGUGGAGGGAGUAUGUUUUGGUGUAGCAGGCUGAGGGACAUUCCUCUCUGUGACCUGAAGUAGCUGGCGCGAAUGACUGAGUCAACACUUGAGCUAGAUCUUGAGGGAGCACAUGAAUUUGGUGAGGUGAAAAUGAGGAGGAGGAGGAGGAGGAGGAGGAGGAGGAAAUUGCCAUGUACCAAGAAGAACGUGAGAGAGAAAUCGACAGACGACAGUAAACUUUCACAUGGAAGGGACAAUAACAAAUCUUAGGAAAGGAAGAUGGAAGACACAUGUUCGCCACACAAUUAUUGGAGCAGAUUCUGUCUACCUCUGCAGAAGUUUUCUAGGCUGGGUAUGUGAAAGGCACAAAUCCCAGAAGAUCUUCAGCCAGCUCCCAGCAAGGUGGGGGAGGAAGAUACAUGUCCUCCAUGCUUUCCUCUUUCCAGCGUCUUAAUGAUGACACAUGGACAUUUCUCAGUGUUGCUGUCACUAAGAGUUAGCAAGUUAACGACAUAAGAACGCCAGGGCUAUAAGUAGAUGUCUCAACCUUAGCACUCCAGGCAUUUGGCGUGGCAUAAUUCUUUAUUAUGGGGACUAAGACUGUCCUCCAGUGGGUGCCAGAAGCAGCCACUCCUUCCGUGACCUCCAGUUGAGAAAAUCAAAAAGGCUUCAGACAUUGCCCAGCAGGUCAACCAUCUCUAAUUAGGACCUACUGCUGUAGAAUAGAUAGACUCUUAACCGGCAUGUUCCUUUACCCUGGAAACUUUCUGAGCCAAGGUAAAGACUUAUGACCAGCUGGGUGUAGUGGCUCAUGCCUGUAAUCCCAGCACUUGGGAGGUUGAGGCAGGAGGAUCGUUGUGAGUUCAAGACCUGCCUGGGCUCAAGUGAGCUCAAGGCCAGCCUGAACUGCAUAGCAAGACCUGUCUCAAAAAGACAAAAAAAAAAAAAAAAAAAAAAAAAAGACUUACGACCUUAGAAAAGGUGACCAUAGCAGGUGUGUCACUUGAGAAAGGGCAGUGUAGCUGCCCUGGAAGGACUCUAGGGCUACAGAUGUGUCUUUUCUUCUCCAAGUCCUCUCUCCAAUGAUUGCCCAAAUCUAGAAGAUGGUUCGUAAAUGCUGGGUAAGAGGAAUUUGCCAGAGCCAAGUCUGCCUCUUGCACUCAGAGGAGAAAUCGCAAGGGCCAACAGCUGUUUACUUGAAGCUCUGUCCACUUACCGGCUUAUUGUGUUCUAUUUAAGAGACUCUUGAAUACUGUGAAAGUAACCAAGGAUACCAGUGUGAUCCCAUGCAGCAAACAUGGGAAAAGAACAGAGCACCCAACGUCCAAGCCUGUUUCUCAGGUUUAUUGCCAGAGAGUAGG